GACGAACGCUGGCGGCGUGCUUAACACAUGCAAGUCGAACGGAAAGGCCCUGCUUUUGUGGGGUGCUCGAGUGGCGAACGGGUGAGUAACACGUGAGUAACCUGCCCUUGACUUUGGGAUAACUUCAGGAAACUGGGGCUAAUACCGGAUAGGAGCUCCUGCUGCAUGGUGGGGGUUGGAAAGUUUCGGCGGUUGGGGAUGGACUCGCGGCUUAUCAGCUUGUUGGUGGGGUAGUGGCUUACCAAGGCCUUGACGGGUAGCCGGACCGAGAGGGUGACCGGCCACAGUGGGACUGGGAUACGGCCCAGACUCCUACGGGAGGCAGAGGUGGGGAAGAUUGCACAAUGGGCGGAAGCCUGAUGCAGCAACGCCGCGUGCGGGAUGACGGCCUUCGGGUUGGAAACCGCUUUCGCCUGUGACGAAGCGUGAGUGACGGUAAUGGGUAAAGAAGCACCGGCUAACUACGUGC
Molecule: ribosomal RNA, 469 nt
Filed under: uncultured bacterium
Lineage: Bacteria
Description: partial 16S ribosomal RNA
Rfam family: Bacterial small subunit ribosomal RNA
Source: RNAcentral